Canis lupus familiaris (dog) is the source of this 2926-nucleotide long non-coding RNA. RefSeq lists it as uncharacterized. Lineage: Eukaryota; Metazoa; Chordata; Mammalia; Carnivora; Canidae. The transcript is spliced from 4 exons. The record is from RefSeq and is a predicted model, not a curated record.
GCUCCGCGACCGCAGGGCCGGCGCCUCCACCGAGCGUGGCGACUCGUGGCAGCCCUGUCCCGGCGCCCGCCCGUGAGGCCCGGGGGUGCGAGGCCCGCAGCGCGCAGGCGGGGGAGCGAGGCCAGGUGUUCGGGAAGAGCAGCGGGAGAGGUGAGGCCCACAGAAGCAGAUCUUAAGAAGUCAGAGAGAGUGGAAUGCAAAUUCAGACAGCCCGGACUCUCUCAUCCCAGAUCUUCUGCUUAUGAAAUAAUGCCUUUGGGCAAAUUGUUGAACCAGUUCAAGCUCCAGCGGCCUCAUCUGUAACACGGAGGAUGCCGAUGACACCUGUGUGGGCAGGUGACUCUGAGGAGCCAAUGAAGUGAUACAGGUCACUCCAACUGCCAUGAGCCACUCCUGAUGUGCCACCUGCUUCCUUCCCCUCUCUUGGGAGGCAUCCUUCACCCUGCCACUGACGUGAGCUUCUCCUGUGUCCGAAACUCCCCCUCUUCCGGACCUCCCACUCAGAAACACCCCCUGGCAGGGUGGCAGCCCUCAUGAACCGGAGCUGCGUGGGUCCUUCGGGUGCAUCUCUGCAGUGAGGCCAGGCCUGGUGGAGGACGUGUGCCCGGAAUGUCCCUCCUCACCCAGAAGCCCGAUACCCAGGCCAGCCGGUGUUUACCCACACCACCUGCCUGCUCUUUCUGUCAACAGGGGUAUAUUUUUCACAGUGUUUGUUUGUUUGUUUGUUUGUUUGUUUGUUUGUUUGUUUGUUUUGCUGCUUUGGGUUGAGAAACUGUAUCUCCCCAGUCACCUCCAUCAAUGGGAGCUGCUCCCGGGACGGUGCUGCUACGUGGCAGGUCCUCGGUAUAUAAAUGCUGGGUUCCUCUUCCUUCCUUCCCCUUCCCCUUAGAUUCCACCUCCUGGGCUUUUCUGGUGCUAAGUCAAGUUACUGCAGGAAGAGCUUUUAUUGGCAAGAAAGACACGAAUGGGAAACAGAAACUCUUGACGAGCUGAGGCAGCAGCCCCUGUCCCUCCCGGAAAGGCCCCAGAAUCAGUCUGUCCUCCAUCUCCCAGCUCUGCCCAGCUUCCCUCUACCCCUGCUCGGAGUCCUGCUGGCAUUGGCCACCUAGCUCAAGAACUCCCCCCUCAGUGCCCUCAGCUAGCUCAGCUUCUAUGAUCCGUUGGAACUUUCCAACACGGGAACCGAAUAGCCCACCUCUUCAGGGCACGGUUGCUGGCUGGCCAACCCCGUGGGGCUGCUGCAGGGGCGGGUGACCGCGUGCUUCAGCUGUACGGCAGAUCUGGAGCCCUCUGCUCUGGCCUGGGCUUAGGCAUGGCCACAUCACACUCACAGAGGGACAUCCAGAACAACCACCCCUUCCCCAAACUUCACUGGACACUGGGAGCCAUAGAGAAGCCUGCGGCCUUGUCUCCUGGGAGUGCUCUGUGGACAGGCCAGGCCGGGGGUGGGCGUGGGGGGGUAGGAAGGUGCAGUUCAGCAAGGAGACAGGGGAGGGGUGAGGUGUGCCAGAGACACCUGGACCUGAGACGGCACUUUUCCCCUUUUUCCUCACUGUCCCCUCUCCCGGAGAUGCAGAGGCCUGCACUGGGGCUGAGAACAGACUCUGACCUCUCUUGGGACAACGUGGCCCUUCUUUCUCAGGGGAUGUCAGUGACUAAUCACCUGCAGGGUUUUGCUCUUCUUCCCUGAGUCCACUCUGGCACGAAAGGAUCCCAGAGGCCAGAAGAUGGUUUGGGCCCCCUGACACUGAUGUCAGAGAAUGCUACAAAUGUGUCACACAGGUGGCAUGGAAGUACCCACCCCCCCCACCCCCCGGGACGAGGCAACAACAAGAAGCAUUUGGAAUUUUGAAAACUUAGAAACAGGGGCGCACCCAGGCCUCAAAGGUGGGGGCACGUGCCUGCAGGUGUUGACAUCUCUGGGGUGGGUGAGGGGGUGACAAAGCUUCCCAGGUGUUAGAGUGGGAGGUAAGGAGGGGGCGGCAGGUGUCCCCUCCAGCUUUCCAGCGCCCUCUAGCGCCUCCUACUGGCACCCACCAACAGGCAGCAGCUGGCAAAGCCACAAGUGGUUUGAAGCCGCACAGAAGGGAGGUGAGAAGAAAGAUGGGCACACCGGUGAGCUGGAGCUGGAGUCAGCUCCCAUGCACCUGUGUGUGUGUGUGUGUGUGUGUGUGCGCACACGCGUGCAGACCAUAAGCUCCCUCCCUGCCAACAGACUGUGAGUCCUGCCCUGUGGGUGUCAGAGCUGUCAGCAAACCUCAAGGCUCUGGCUGCCGGGGACUUCUCUGUUCUGAACUGCCAGCCCCUGGGCCCCAUACCCUCUCACCCCAAACAGGCCCUGCGUGGAGAUCUUCUGUCCAAAGGAAGCUCCAAACCCUUCAUCUCUGGAGGGAUCCAGUAGAAAAAUGUUAUAAUGCCUGCCUGCAUGAGGAUCCCAGGAGCUCAGAGAAAAGUACCCUCUGGGCUACCUUGCUCAGCACCUAGUAAACACAGCGGAACUCCUUUACGGAUGGGAGGUACAAGCUAAAAAUGCAGCAUCACCUCCUUAGAGAGGUCUUCGCAGCCCGCUCUAAUUAGGGCCCCCUGCCACCCUGUUGUUCUCCAUCACCGUGCGUUGUCAUUCUCAUCAGAGCACGUGUCAUGAAGCGCAGUUCUAUUUUUCAUUAUCGUGUGUUUAUUGCCUGCCUCCUCUAGACAGCAGACUCGCAAGGGCAGGGCCAUGCGGCUUCCUUCACCACUACAGGCCUGGGACCUCGCCCAGUGCCUGGCACACAAUAGGUCUCAAUAAGAGUAGGUGAAAUGCAUCACCUCAAAAAUAUAAAAUGGCAUGUCUGUGUGGCUCAGUUGGUUAAGCAUCUGAUUUUGGCUCGGGUCAUGAUCUCAUGGUCUUGAGAUCGAAUCCCACCUCGGGCUCCACACUCAGCCU